GACGAACGCUGGCGGCGUGCUUAACACAUGCAAGUCGAACGGAAAGGCCCUGCUUUUGUGGGGUGCUCGAGUGGCGAACGGGUGAGUAACCCGUGAGUAACCUGCCCUUUACUUUGUGAUAACUUCAGGAAACUGGGGCUAAUACCGGAUACGAGCUCCUGCUGCAUGGUGGGGGUUGGAAAGUUUCGGCGGUUGGGGAUGGACGCGCGGCUUAUCAGCUUGUUGGUUGGGUAGUGGCUUACCAAGGCUUUGACGGGUAGCCGGCCUGAGAGGGUGACCGGCCACAAUGGGACUGAGAUACGGCCCAGACUCCUACGGGAGGCAGCAGUGGGAAAUAUUGCACAAUGGGCGGAAGCCUGAUGAAGCAACGCCGGGUGCGGGAUGACGGCCUUCGGGUUGUAAACCGCUUUAGCCUGUGACGAAGCGUGAGUGACGGUAAUGGGUAAAGAAGCACCGGCUAACUACGUG
This 468-nucleotide ribosomal RNA is filed under the name uncultured bacterium. RNAcentral describes it as "partial 16S ribosomal RNA". It matches the Rfam family "Bacterial small subunit ribosomal RNA", at positions 28 to 507 of the family's 1533-position model. The record is from RNAcentral.